AUGCUCAUUUCGGCAGCACAUAUACUAAAAUUAGAACGAUACAGAGAAGAUUAGCACGGCCCCUGUGCAAGGAUGACACGCAAAUUUGUGAAGCAUUCCAUAUAACU
Molecule: small nuclear RNA, 107 nt
Organism: Gorilla gorilla gorilla (western lowland gorilla)
Lineage: Eukaryota; Metazoa; Chordata; Mammalia; Primates; Hominidae
Source: Ensembl